CACGAACCGUACGAACGUUUAUUCGGAAUUACUGGGCUUAAAGGGUUUGUAGGCGGCCAUGUAAGUCAGGUGUGAAAUCCCUCGGCUCAACCGAGGAACGGCGCUUGAUACUGCAUGGCUUGAGGGAGACAGGGGGUAAGCGGGAACUGAUGGUGGAGCGGUGAAAUGCGUUGAUAUCAUCAGGAACACCGGUGGCGAAGGCGCUCUGCUAGGCCGCAACUGACACUGAGGGACGAAAAGCUAGGGGGAGCGAAUGGG
This 258-nucleotide ribosomal RNA is filed under the name uncultured bacterium. RNAcentral describes it as "partial 16S ribosomal RNA". It matches the Rfam family "Bacterial small subunit ribosomal RNA", at positions 524 to 776 of the family's 1533-position model. The record is from RNAcentral.